RNAcentral lists this long non-coding RNA (223 nucleotides) under Oryza sativa (Asian cultivated rice). RNAcentral describes it as "long non-coding RNA (OSAT_LNC001587)". Lineage: Eukaryota; Viridiplantae; Streptophyta; Magnoliopsida; Poales; Poaceae. The record is from RNAcentral.
UGUAGUUAUCGCUGCCUUGCUGGUAACUAGGGUUGCCUCCUUGGCCUUGGUAGCCUGGUGCACCACCAGCAAAGACAGGGUUGCCGGCUUGAUAAGGAGGUGGGUUGCCGGCUUGAUAAGGAGGUGGGUUGCCACCAUGGUAACCUGGCCCUCCUCCCUGGUAUCCAGGGUUGUUGCCCUGGUAAGCAGAGGGUGGGGGUGGGGGUGGACCUCGGUAUUCCUG